RNAcentral lists this long non-coding RNA (1051 nucleotides) under Brachypodium distachyon (stiff brome). RNAcentral's name for it is "long non-coding RNA (BDIS_LNC005736)". Lineage: Eukaryota; Viridiplantae; Streptophyta; Magnoliopsida; Poales; Poaceae. The record is from RNAcentral.
UUUGCCUCAGUUACGGAUUGGGGAAGAUUAUGAAACGGGGAGCUAAAGGGCGGAAUCCGUUCGUGGUGUGAUGGGAGGAGAAACGGUCGGGAGCGAGAGAAUCGAAGGGGAGAUCAACCUGCGGUGGAGGCGCUCGCGCGAGGAGGAAGUCGAUGGGCGCUCGGCAGCGUGAUGGGUGGCGGCGCUCGGCCGAAGAGGAAGAAGAUGCAGGAGCGAGGGGACUGGGUCGCUCGGCAGAGGGAGGGAGGGCCGAGGGGUAUAGUAGCCCACUGCCGACGAGGCAGAGGGUAGAGGGAGGAAGUAGUAAACGAGAUCGAAUCAUGUAACGGACGGAAUACAACUGUAAAUCCAGUAAUUUAACAGUUUAGUCUACAACGUGAACGUGGUUUAAAAAAGCAUCAUUUAAGCAUGCAAAAGCUCUCAUCGGUCGAAAAAUGCAUCGCUUAGAUUUUGUUUGUUUGGGCUUAAAACCGUUUUUUGACUUUUGGUUUUUAUGCCACAAAAAUAUCUAUUUAGAUGCUUUCAGCUUUGGCUUUUCACAUUUUACUUAAUAUUUUUAGAUGAUGGUAUAAGUAAAAACCAAGUCAAAAUCACUUAAAUAGAAAAAACAACUAAAUAGGUGUUUUUUUGAUUUAUAAGCCAAAAAAGAAACAGUUUUAAACCCAACCAAAUAGGGUCUUAUGUCCUAAGCGACUACUUCAGGGCUGAUAAGGCUCGUUAGCACAAUUCUCAGCCGCAGGGACGACUUCUCUCUCUUCCGUCCCUCCAAGAAUCUCUCCAAUUUUUCCAAUUCGCCUUUUUCCUCCAAGAAUUCCGUCAAUUUGGGCGAGCAACAGAAUCCCGCCAAUUUCUCCUAUUCCCCUGGAUUCCCACCAAAUAUCCCGCCAAUUUCUCCUGGGCUAGCAACAAUGUCUCUCAAAUUCUCCAAUUCCCCUUGAUUUUCUCCAAGAAUCCCGCCAACUUCUCAGAAACAGAGUCUGUACGGAACGAUUAAGAUUCAAUUCCUCUCAGCGGUGCCUCACCGCUCGCUUAGUGCUUUUUUGAAUCCUGG